Triticum aestivum (bread wheat) is the source of this 2431-nucleotide long non-coding RNA. RefSeq lists it as uncharacterized. Lineage: Eukaryota; Viridiplantae; Streptophyta; Magnoliopsida; Poales; Poaceae. The transcript is spliced from 3 exons. The record is from RefSeq and is a predicted model, not a curated record.
GGUAAUACGGUAGGAAACAGUGCAUCUUUCGUGGGCCUAGAUCGUAUCGGGGGAACGGAGGACGCGCGUGUGCGUUCUGGUCCGUGGACCAGAACGUUCUCAUCUCAACCGAGCCACGGAUCAGAACAGAGGAAACCCUCGUCGCCCCCCUCUCUUCCCCCAAAACCGGCGGCGCUCGAUCUGCACCGGCGGCCACGUGAUGGAAGAGGCUGGCCUCGAUUUCCUGCUUGAUGCCGUCCACAGGCCAUCGCCGUCUUGUUUCAGGGGAGGAGUUCGAGGACUGUCUUGAACACCCAGAUCCGGUUCCUCUGGCCUUGUUCCUGAGAAGCGAAGCCAGCCACGCCGUCCCUGCGGACUCAAAUGCCGGGUCUGGUUGCGGGCAACAGGACGGGGAGUGCGCCGGCGUCCUGAUGCUUCUCUGACUCGGUCGGGGCAGUCACUGACCCCGAGGCCUCUGGUUGGACAAAAAGGUUACAGCUCGGUAGUGCACCACCAGACCAGACACCUUGUCCCUGGGAUGAGUGCUCACAAUUAUGCAGAGGAACCGACAAAGAGUGUAGUGCGACCUGCACUUGCUCGGGCGAGGCAUAUGAUUUCUACAAUUUGUACACUUGGGAGAUCGGGUUCGGAAUUAGAUAUGAUAAGAUCAGGCUCAACGCUGAGAGGACAAAAUGCAUGGAGGAGAUAGUCUGCGGUUGCUCGGUGCCUACUGAACUCUGCUUACAUAGUUAUAUUUGAGAAAAUGGUGAGGCAUGGCCGUCCUGUGGUAUUUGUGUGUGUGGUAGUCUUGACAUUUUGUUUGUUGGAAAGUAUGCAGGGAUUGGGCCAAUGUACUCCCCAAGUACUUCUGGUUACUGUACAACUUAGACUAUACAUGCUUGGCGAGCAGUCAUAAUUCUGAACGAAUGAACAAUUGGAGGCUAGGUCAGCAUUGCCUUACAAAUUCUACCUGUGUUCAUGCACUCCUCCGGUUGUUGUAGCGAUGAUCUGUUCCUUUCUCAGUGGGACAUGCGGGUCUUGAAAGGUUCAAGACAAUAACAAGCAGUUACUACUUACUACCGGGGAGUGCAUGGAAUCAUUGUAAGCCCUCAUGGACACCCGUAUUACUUUUUUAUCAUAUUCUUGUGACACUCAACGCCGUCUUUUUGGAACUGUUUUACUCAGAUGUAGUAAUAUAGUACUCUAGGAUCGGUUGAAUUGGUUCACAGUUUCACUUUAGCCAUUGACCUGAACUUAUCAUUUUCACGGCUCGCUGUUAUCUACAUUUAGAAAAUAAUGUGAUUUCUGUUGUACUGGCUAACAUCUAACCGCCAUUUUAGUUUGAGCUUACCUGUUAUACUUGAAUGGACAGAACAACGUAUUGCUAAUUGGCACACACCAAAAAAAACACUCUCAACUUGUUUCAUGCUUGAAAGGUUGGCUUGCCUCUUUGUUCUUGAUACUCUUCUUCGUAAUGUGAUUCUGAUCUUUUCUAUUCAAAUAUAUAAUGAAGUGACUAAAAUAUCAAUGAUUAGUUUCAGGCAUUUGCGGAAUCAUUAGGAAUGAAUUUUCUUGAGAGUUAUGCUACGGAAUCCAUCAAUGUGGAGAGAACUUUCUUAAAUAUGUCAUCAGAAAUGAAGAAAAGAUAACCAGGAGCUACACACUUUUAGAGGCCUUUUUUCUUCCCAGUUUCUCUGAAAUGUUAGAUCUCAUCGAAUGACAUGUAUUCUUGUGAAAAAGAAAGGCUUUGGGAAUUCUAUCCAAUAUGUUUGCAUUACUGGUUUAAAAAAUAUGAUAUGCUCAUCUUUUUAUUGGGUUGUGUGCAUGAUCAAGAGAAGCCGAGAGAGCAAUAAUUUCUUGCUUUUCGGAAGAAAAACUGCAAGCAAGAGCAAUGACGAACAAUUUCUCAAAUACUUCCCAUGGAGCCUUUCAUUACAUUAAUUCUGCAGAGUUCAUAAUUGACACAAACAGUUUAUUUAGGUAUUGGCUUUAGUUUUUCUGAUGGCUAAGGACAGAUCAUGCAGUUAUCUCCUCUUAUGACUACUUCUGCUGCCUUCUAAAAAUCUGGUGGGCAUGCUUUCCAUGUGGACUGCUAGUCUUGCCUUCUGUUCGAGUGAAGGAUUUACUUGCUACUGAAAUUUUUACAUGCCUGCAGAAUGACGAGCCAAUCUGCCACGGAGAGGAAAUCUACUGUCCAUGUUCACAUGAAAGGGCAGCCCAUACAGCAGCAGAACAGCAGCUGCUGCUCCGCAUAGGCUCAGCAAGACUCCAUUCCCAUGUGUUAUGAUAUUGUUGAGUGGACAUGAUUUUGUUGUGUUACUGUUUACCAUGGAGUACAUAUUUAAUACCUGCCAAUGUAUUAGGUGCAUUUGAUGGAUCUUAGGUAACGAAAAUUGUGUGAAAACAUGGUUAAUUAAAGCUCAGUAAUCAUCACCCUGUCAUAUUUCCCAAA